GGAUCUUCCGCAAUGGACGAAAGUCUUUGUUAGGGAAGAACAAGUGCAAGAGUAACUGCUUGCACCUUGACGGUACCUAACCAGAAAGCCACGGCUAACUACGUGCCAGCAGCCGCGGUAAUACGUAGGUGGCAAGCGUUGUCCGGAAUUAUUGGGCGUAAAGGGCUCGCAGGCGGUUUCUUAAGUCUGAUGUGAAAGCCCCCGGCUCAACCGGGGAGGGUCAUUGGAAACUGGGAAACUUGAGUGGAGAAGAGGAGAGUGGAAUUCCACGUGUAGCGGUGAAAUGCGUAGAGAUGUGGAGGAACACCAGUGGCGAAGGCGACUCUCUGGUCUGUAACUGACGCUGAGGAGCGAAAGCGUGGGGAGCGAACAGGAUUAGAUACCCUGGUAGUGCCACGCCGUAAACGAUGAGUGCUAAGUGUUAGGGGGUUCCGCCC
This 437-nucleotide ribosomal RNA is filed under the name Bacillus pumilus. Its description in RNAcentral is "bacterial SSU rRNA". It matches the Rfam family "Bacterial small subunit ribosomal RNA", at positions 409 to 838 of the family's 1533-position model. The record is from RNAcentral. Lineage: Bacteria; Bacillati; Bacillota; Bacilli; Caryophanales; Bacillaceae.